Non-coding RNA from Octopus bimaculoides (California two-spot octopus), 46 nucleotides. The record is from Rfam. Lineage: Eukaryota; Metazoa; Mollusca; Cephalopoda; Octopoda; Octopodidae.
AAAACGGUCCUUUUAAGGGCCACCUAUAUUUUCGUGAUUGUAAACU